RNAcentral lists this long non-coding RNA (535 nucleotides) under Mustela putorius furo (domestic ferret). RNAcentral describes it as "lncRNA (ENSMPUG00000025678.1)". The record is from RNAcentral. Lineage: Eukaryota; Metazoa; Chordata; Mammalia; Carnivora; Mustelidae.
CUUGGAAGGCUUCUGAGCAGGGAAUAACACAGUAUAAUUUGUGUUGUAGAAAGCUGACUUUGUCUGGGUAUGAUGGAUUGACCAGAAAGAGGAAGCGAGAGGGAGAAGAAAAUCACAUGUGAUCAAAACCACAAAUGGUUUCUUCAGGCCACAGGGACAGGUGAGGCCCCUGGGGCUGAAGAGCCAAAGUAACAUGAAUCAACUUAAGACAAGGAAACUAAAAUCAUCCUGGAAGAACAGGAAGGACUUCCAAGAAGAGAAUAAAGUUAACACUGGAUUUCCAAAGAUCAGUGUGUACGUUUUGGGAGUGAUGUGGAGUUCAGAACGAAAGGAGUGAGUAGAGGCGCCGGCAAAGGAGCAGAGUAGGAAGAGUAACAGCAAAGUUAGAUUUUAUUUAGAUACGGAAAAACUUCUUUUGAAAGGGAUUUGAACAUAGGAAGAAAUUGGCAAGGAAGAUUUUGAAUUUUGUUUUAUAGAGGCCUUCAGUAAAAGAGAGUUUUAUUGAAUCAGGAUGAGACUGUACACGAAGGCUGGG